CCCUUAGAUGUUCUGGGCUGCACGCGCGCUACACUGAAGGAAUCAGCGUGCUAAAACCAUUGUCGAAAGGCAUUGGUAAACCCAUUAAAAUCCUACGUGAUUGGGAUCGGGAAUUGCAAUUAUUUCCCUUGAACGAGGAAUUCCCAGUAAGUGUGGGUCAUAAGCUCGCGUUGAUUACGUCCCUGCCCUUUGUACACACCGCCCGUCGCUGCCCGGGACUGAGCCGUUUCGAGAAAAGCGGGGACUGCUGCUGUCGGGGCUUUCGGGCCUUGGCUUCGGUGGAAACCGCUUUAAUCGCANUNGCUUGANCCGGGCAAAANUCGUANCA
RNAcentral lists this ribosomal RNA (328 nucleotides) under uncultured eukaryote. Its description in RNAcentral is "partial 18S ribosomal RNA". It matches the Rfam family "Eukaryotic small subunit ribosomal RNA", at positions 1470 to 1796 of the family's 1831-position model. The record is from RNAcentral.